Nerophis ophidion (straightnose pipefish) is the source of this 6352-nucleotide long non-coding RNA. RefSeq lists it as uncharacterized. NCBI's taxonomy places the organism in Eukaryota, Metazoa, Chordata, Actinopteri, Syngnathiformes, Syngnathidae. The transcript is spliced from 2 exons. The record is from RefSeq and is a predicted model, not a curated record.
CCAUUUUCUACCGCUUAUUCCAUUUUGGGGUCGCGGGGGGCGCUGGCCCUAUCUCAGCUACAAUCGGGCGGAAGGCAGGGUACACCCUGGACAAGUCGCCACCUCAUCGCAGGGCCAACACAGAUAGACAGACAACAUUCACCCUCACAUUCACACACUAGGGCCAAUUUAGUGUUGCCAAUCAACCUGUCCCCAGGUGCAUGUGUUUGGAAGUGGGAGGAAGCCCGAGUACCCGGAGGGAACCCACGCAUUCACGGGGAGAACAUGCAAACUCCGCACAGAAAGAUCCCGAGCCUGGAUUUGAACCCAGGACUGCAGGAACUUCGUAUUGUGAGGCAGACGCACUAACCCCUCUGUCACCGUGAAGCCUAUGUAUAUAUAUUUAUAUAUAUAUGUAUUUAUAUGUGUAUAUAUUAGGGCUGGGGGAUACAUCGAUAAAUGCGAUACAUCGCGGGUUUAACUCUGUGCGAUAUAGGAAAUGAUUACUUGUGUAUCGUAAUAUUCGAGUAUAUGUUCUCACGCAGUUGUUUUUAGCUGCGGACAUUACACUUCUGGCUCUCCUCGCUCUUUCCUGUGUCUCCUUCUCACAGACAAGCAGGCGCACAUUCUUACAUACGUCACAUACUGUCACGUCAUACGUCACAUACGUAUACGCCCUCGCCCAGCAGAGAGGUAGCGGCGUGGCUAACGUUAGCUGUGAUGUUAGCGGGUUGUUGCGAGAGAAAGAAGGGGCGAAUCUCGUAACAAAUGAAGGAAGAAUUAAUUCCCAAGAAAAACAGCACUGGGUCCAUCGUCUGGCGGUGGUUCGGCUUCAAGCAGGAAUAUGUCGAAAAUACAACUCUGAUUUGUCAUGUGUGGGGCACAAGCAUUGCUACCAAAAGUAGCAUUACUGCUAAUAUGUAGCAUCAUUUGAAUAGUCACCUGCUAAUAACUACAAUAAAUACAGUUUUGGUAAAUUGACUUAGUUGUGAUUUCCUUCUCUGCAUGAAAGUUUAAUAUUAGCAUAUAUUAGUGCAGUAUGAACAAGAAUGUUUUUAUGUCGACAUAUAGAAUCACCAUACUGGACGCCGAGAUGAGCAGUCGCAUUUUUUCCGCUCCCGCUCGGGAAUACAAUCAACCACUAGGAUGAUACCACACUUCCUCAUUUUUCUACUGUGGAUCAUGGAUUUAUAUUUGAAACCACCACGGAGACAAUACCCUCUUGAAAAUGAGAGUCGUGAAUGCGAAAUGGACAAUCACUGCGAAUUCUACCUCCUCGGUAACCCAUCGGCGAAGCAACUGGGCUUCGGAGGUAACGUGAUCCACUCAUGCCUCACAGCGGAUUGGAACAGAGGAAACAAGCCACUGACUGGAAGGAUAGACUGAAGAUCUACAAUUUUACUAUUAUUUUUACUCUCAGGAGACACUGGACUAAACCCUGGACCAAUAACCACCCGGUUAAUGUUAUCUCGCCUGGCGAAGCCUAGCAAUGUUGUUGCCAACGACGCCGAGGAAGCUAGUGUAGCUGCGGUACCUCGUCGGAGCUAUGCUAAAAACAUUAGCUCUCCACCUACGCCAGCCCUCAUUUGUUCAUCACCACACAAGCUCACCUGCGUUUCAGCGGUUGGCGGCACGACAGAGGACUUCACCCCGAACAUCGGUGCGGUUGGCGGCCCAGAGACGGAGGAAGACAGCUCAGACACCGGUGAGGACUGCGGCUCGGCGGCGGAUGGCUUAAUGGCUUUUGACGACACCCUGGCCGCCAUUAAAGUCGGCAGUGCGGAGGUCCUCCUAACCUCUCCCGAAACCCUGAGGGUCAUCGCCGCGUCACCUGGACCCCCCACGGCCUACACAGUACUUCUUCCCAACGGACUCUGAUGUUCUUUUGGUUCAGGUGGGCUACACAUCAUCCAUCUUAAUGCGAACAGCCUCCCGGGAAAUAAACUCAUCCAAAUCAGAGAAAUGUUCCACAACAAUAAGGUAAAAAUCCUGUGUUUCUCCGAAACUAAAUGAGAUGAAAGUGUUUCUGACUCAGAGAUAGAGAUAGAAAACUUCUCGGUCAUCAGAAAGUACAGGAAUAAACAUGGUGGUGGUGUUUGUAUGUAUAUUCACCAGGAUAUUAAAUACAUAACUCGCUCUGAUCUCAACCACAAUGCCCUUGAAUCUGUGUGGGCAAAAGUCUAACUCACAAACGCUAAGCCGGUACUGAUAGGGACUGUAUACAGACCCCUAAUCAGAAUGAUUUCUAUGGUGCUAAGCUGGUCUAGACAACGUGGAGAAAAUUGUAAGUGGAGAUCUGAACACAGAUGUUCAACGCAGAGAUGUGCCUGUCUUCAAAUCUUACAGCAAACUCUGUAAUCUGCACGCUCUUUCCCAGCUAAUAACACUCCCCACACAGGUGUGUGAUUCCACCCAAUCAACCAUAGAUCUCAUCCUCACAUCAGAUCGGCAUAAUAUUAAAAAUAGUGGGGUCAUGAUCUGUGAUCUUAGCGACCACUAUAUAACCUUCUGCACGUGCAAAAUAAGUAAACCUAAAGCCAAUGGCCACAUAACAGCUCAAUCCAGAUCCCUUAAAACAUACUCCAGUGAUAAUUUCAACCUCAAAUGAGGUGAGUGGGACUGGUCCCCUGUGCUCAUGAGCAACCUGGUUGAAGAUGCUUGGGAUCGCUUCAAAACAGCGUUCCAAGCAAUACUAAAUGAUAUGGCUCCUGUGAGAACAGUCAGGAUCAAAGCCCGCUCUGAAGCAUGGAUCAAUCCAGACCUAUUAGCUCCCAUAAAAGACAGAGCCAAAAUACUUCAAAUACCAAAAGUGUAAAACCAAAGUAAAUAAAGAACCCAAUAAUAAUAACCUCUAAUCACUCCUUUCAACGCUCAAAAAGCAAUGCAAUAAAUUAAGAAAUAAGACAAUCAACCGGGCUAAAUCCUUAAAAAAAAUAUCAACGACAAAAUAGAGGAAAACACAAAUAAGCCACGUGAGCGCUGGAAGACUCUCAACAACCAGCUUCCCGGAUGCAGCCAGAAACUUAAAACCAGACUCACCAACAUCAACAUCAAGGAGGGUGACGCCCUCAUUACAGACAAAAUGGAGGUAGCAAGCAGACUUAACAGCUUUUUCACCAGCAAAGCCACGACUCUCGUUAACAAGCUGUCCCAUCACUUUGGUCGCUUUGGUGUAGAAAACAUUAAAGCCUUCUACAGAAAGCUAGGAGUAAUCAACAACAAUUUCAAAUUAGAAAUGGUCUCAGUUAACGAGGUGCUUAAUAAUUUGAGCGUGCUCCACCCAAACAAGGCCACAGGCCUUGACAAUAUCCCCUCUAGAUUCCUCAUUGACUCUGCCAACACCAUUGCCCCAAUAAUCACACACAUAAUAAACCUCUCAAUCAAACAAGGCCAGGUACCGAAGGAUUUCAAGAUAGCAAGAGUAAACCCCCUUUAUAAAAAAGGAAGCAAAUUAGAACCUGGUAACUACCGACCUGUUUCUAUUCUCAGUUCCAUUUCAAAAGUAAUGGAAAAAAUAGUUUAUGAACAGGUUGAUAGAUACCUUGCUACUGAUAAACUAAUGGACAAAUUCCAAUCCGGCUUCAGAACUAACCACUCCACUGACACAUGCCUUCUCUAUCUGACCGACCACAUCAAACAUGAGGUGGACGCGGGCAAAUACUGCGGUAUUGUCAUGCUGGACAUUCAGAAGGCCUUUGACACCGUUAACCACGCUAUACUGUUGGAUAAGCUCAGAGCAAUCGGAUUCCAUAAAACCUCAUGGAGCUGGAUGCAAUAAUACUUGGAGGGGACGAAACAGGUGGUAGAGAUGAACGGCACCGUGUCCCCUCCCCUCUCAGUAAGCUGUGGAGUCCCCGAAGGCAGUAUACUAGGACCUUUACUGUUCCUAAUAUACAUUAAUGACAUUCCAUCAGCAUGCCACUGUGAAUUGUUCCUGUUUGCGGAUGACUCGGCCCUGCUGGUAUCCGGCAAGGACAAGUCACAGGUGGAACAAAUCCUCAGAGCUGAACUCCUUAAAGGGGAACAUUAUCACAAAUUCAAAAGGGUUAAAAACAAUAAAAAUCAGUUCCCAGUGGCUUGUUGUAUUUUUUGAAGUUUUUUUCCAAAUUUUACCGGUGCCGGAAUAUCCCUAAAAAAAAGCUUUAAAGUGCCUUUUUUUUGCUCUCCGCGAAGACACUAUCCAUUUUCCUGUGACGUCAUACAGUGCUGCCAAUCUAAACAAACAAUGGCGAAUACCACAGCAAGAUAUAGCAACAUUAGCUUGGAUUCAGACUCGGAUUUCAGCGGCUUAAGCAAUUCAACAGAUUACGCAUGUAUUGAAACGGAUGGUUGGAGUAUAAAAGUAUUGAAGAAGAAACUGAAGCUAUUGAGCGAAUAGCUAUUGACGCUAUUCAUAGCCAUAGCAUGGCCGAAUAGCUGCGUUAGCGUCGCCGGUAAAAUGUGCGGACCAAACGAUCAGGACUUUAGCAUCUUGUGACACUGGAGCAACUUAAAUCCGUCGAUUGGUAAGUGUUUUUUUCGCAUUAAAUGUGGGUGGAAGGAAACGUAAUAUAGUUGCAAAUGCAUCUGGAGGUUAUCCAUACAUCUCUGUGCCAUGUCUGCUUUAGCACCGCUGGUAAAUAGCAUGUUAGCAUCGAUUAGCAUGGCAUAUUAGCAUCAAUUAGCUGGCAGUCACGCCGCGACCAAAUAUGUCUGAUUAGCACAUAAGUCAACAACAUCAACAAAACUCACCUUUUGUGAUUUUGUUGACUUAAUCAUUGCAAAUGCAUCUGCAGGUUUUGCAUACAUCUCUGUGCCAUGUCUGUCAUCGCCGGUAAAAUGUGCAGACACUCCGGCACAUUCAAUGGGGGUCUGGCGGCAGAUUUCUUGCCACUUUCGCAUCUUUGGGCAGGUGGUGCAACUUGAAUCCCUCCCUGUUAGUGUUGUUACACCCUCCGAGAAACACACCAACGAGGCAUGAUGUCUCCAAGGUUCCAAAAAAUAGUCGAAAAAACGGAAAAUAACAGAGCUGAGACCUGGUGUUUGCAAUGUGUUGAAAAUGAAAAUGGCGGCUGUAUUACCUCGGUGACGUCAUCGCCAAAAGAGCCAUAAACAGAAAGGCGUUGAAUUCGCCAAAAUUCACCCAUUUAGAGUUCGGAAAUCAGUUAAAAAAAUAUAUGGUCUUUUUUCUGCACCAUCAAGGUAUAUAUUGACGCUUACAUAGGUCUGGUGAUAAUGUUCCCCUUUAAUAUUUGCACCUGGCUCGCUGACAACAAGCUAUCCAUACACUUAGGUAAAACGGAAUCCAUCCUAUUUGGGUCCCAUAUCAACCUUAAGAAAGUCAGUGACGUCACUAUAAAAGUGGGUGACAUUGCUAUCACCAGGAAAGAUGAGAUCACCUUCUCUCGGUUCCAUUCUAGAGGCUAAUCUUUCCUGUGAUGAAAUGGCAACCAAGGUAAUCAAAAAGGUCAACCAAAGAACGAGAUUCCUCUACAGAAUCUCCUCUCUGGUCAACAAAAGCACCUUCAAGAUUCUAGCAGGAACUCUCAUUCAACUCUUUUUCGGUUACGGUUGCACCUCCUGGUACCCCAGCACCUCCAAAACCCUCAAAUCUAGACUCCAAACACCCUAGAAUAAGCUAGUCCGGUUACUUUUAAACCCCCACCCCAGAUCACACCUCACUCCAACCCACUUCUCCAAAGUGGGCUGGCUCAGGGUGGAGGACAGAGUAAAACAACUUGUACUGAGCCUAGUCUAUAAAAUCCGCUACACCUCCCUGAUUCCGAAGUACAUGUCAAACUACUUCCUUAACGUACAUGACCGCCAUAACCACAACACCAGGGGGAGCUCCACAAACCACGUUAAACCCAGAUUCCGAUCUAACAAAGGUCUUAACUCAUUCUCUUUCUAUGCCACAUCAAUGUGGAAUGCACUCCCAACAGGUGUAAAAGUAAGUGCAUAUCUAUAUUCCUUUUUAAAACCGCUCUAAAACAACACCUCCAGGCAACUUCCACCCCUUUACCUUUCCUCCAUUCACAUCCCAUCUCCCUGGAUUAUAAAUAACCUAAUGUUAAUAAUCAAAUGUACUUCUAAUGUAUUUACUUGCUCUUAUGCUAUCUGAACUCACUAUGUUCUCUGCUCGCUGUAAAUAUCCUACCAAGUAAGACCUACACUGUUUCUAUGUCCAUUUCUCUGUUGAUGCAAUUGUUGAUGACUGAAGUACUGAUAUCAACCAAAGCUCCUCAUCCCACCCCCCGGAUUGUAAACAAUGUAAAUAAUUCAAUGUAUAUACUAUGAUGAUUAACCUGUGUGAUGACUGUAUUAUGCUGAUAGUAUAUAUUUGUACCAUGAAUGAAUUAACGUUGACCCCGACUUAAACAAGUUGAAAAACUUA